RNAcentral lists this ribosomal RNA (380 nucleotides) under uncultured eukaryote. RNAcentral describes it as "partial 18S ribosomal RNA". It matches the Rfam family "Eukaryotic small subunit ribosomal RNA", at positions 592 to 976 of the family's 1831-position model. The record is from RNAcentral.
CAAUAGCGUAUAUUAAAGUUGUUGCAGUUAAAAAGCUCGUAGUUGGAUUUGUGGCGUACGGUGUGUUCGGGGCACUUGUUGUCUGAGUAACCUGCUGUUGCCAUCCUUGGGUGGAACCUGUGUGGCAUUAGGUUGUCGUGCAGGGGAUGCCCAUCAUUUACUGUGAAAAAAUUAGAGUGUUCAAAGCAGGCUUAUGCCGUUGAAUAUAUUAGCAUGGAAUAAUGAGAUAGGACUUUUUUGCUAUUUUGUUGGUUUGCGCAAAGAGGUAAUGAUUAAUAGGGACAGUUGGGGGUAUUCGUAUUCCAUUGUCAGAGGUGAAAUUCUUGGAUUUUUGGAAGACGAACUACUGCGAAAGCAUUUACCAAGGAUGUUUUCAUUAA